AUAUUUUCAACGUUUAUAUGCCCUGAACUUCUCAGAGUUUAAACUAACAUUAAUUUUCUUAAACUACCCCUACUUCGAAUGAAAGGUUACCACAGAUUUCAAUGUAAACAAUAUGCACAUGUAUAUUUACUGGUAACAUUCCCAAGUUAUGUCUCUGUGAGAUGGAACACAGAGAGCAUAACUGGGAACCAGUAUGUAAACAAAAUUAAUUUUCUAUGAAUAUUCAAGAUCUCCCCAAAAGAGGCGUGUUUUGAGAAA
RNAcentral lists this long non-coding RNA (258 nucleotides) under Mytilus galloprovincialis (Mediterranean mussel). The record is from RNAcentral. Lineage: Eukaryota; Metazoa; Mollusca; Bivalvia; Mytilida; Mytilidae.